RNAcentral lists this ribosomal RNA (450 nucleotides) under uncultured bacterium. RNAcentral's name for it is "partial 16S ribosomal RNA". It matches the Rfam family "Bacterial small subunit ribosomal RNA", at positions 354 to 796 of the family's 1533-position model. The record is from RNAcentral.
GUGGGGAAUAUUGGACAAUGGGCGAAAGCCUGAUCCAGCCAUGCCGCGUGUGUGAAGAAGGUCUUCGGAUUGUAAAGCACUUUAAGUUGGGAGGAAGGGUAGUAACCUAAUACGUUGCUACUUUGACGUUACCGACAGAAUAAGCACCGGCUAACUUCGUGCCAGCAGCCGCGGUAAUACGAAGGGUGCAAGCGUUAAUCGGAAUUACUGGGCGUAAAGCGCGCGUAGGUGGCUCAGUAAGUUGGAAGUGAAAUCCCCGGGCUCAACCUGGGAACUGCUUUCAAAACUGCUGAGCUAGAGUACGGUAGAGGGUGGUGGAAUUUCCUGUGUAGCGGUGAAAUGCGUAGAUAUAGGAAGGAACACCAGUGGCGAAGGCGACCACCUGGACUGAUACUGACACUGAGGUGCGAAAGCGUGGGGAGCAAACAGGAUUAGAAACCCGGGUAGUCC